This is a small nuclear RNA of Tursiops truncatus (common bottlenose dolphin), 107 nucleotides long. NCBI's taxonomy places the organism in Eukaryota, Metazoa, Chordata, Mammalia, Artiodactyla, Delphinidae. The record is from Ensembl.
AUGCUCACUUUGUCUGCACAUAUACUAAAAUUGGAACAAUACAGAGAGGAUUAGUAUGACCCCUGAGCAAGGAUGACAUGCAAAUUCAUGAAGCAUUCCAUAUUUUU